UACGUAGGGUCCGAGCGUUGUCCGGAAUUUACUGGGCGUAAAGAGCUCGUAGGUGGUUUUUGUCGCGUUGUUUCGUGAAAACUCACAGCUCAACUGUGGGCGUGCGGGCGAUACGGGCAGACUAGAGUACUGCAGGGGAGACUGGAAUUCCUGGUGUAGCGGUGGAAUGCGCAGAUAUCAGGAGGAACACCGAUGGCGAAGGCAGAUCUCUGGGGCCGU
This 219-nucleotide ribosomal RNA is filed under the name uncultured bacterium. Its description in RNAcentral is "partial 16S ribosomal RNA". It matches the Rfam family "Bacterial small subunit ribosomal RNA", at positions 524 to 737 of the family's 1533-position model. The record is from RNAcentral.